Molecule: ribosomal RNA, 253 nt
Filed under: uncultured bacterium
Lineage: Bacteria
Description: partial 16S ribosomal RNA
Rfam family: Bacterial small subunit ribosomal RNA
Source: RNAcentral
UACGGAGGGUGCGAGCGUUGUCCGGAAUCACUGGGCGUAAAGGGCGCGUAGGCGGCGCGGGAAGUCAUCGGUGAAAGUUCAGGGCUCAACUCUGAAUCGGCCGGUGAUACUCUCGUGCUCGAGCACUGUAAAGGCAGGUGGAAUUCCGGGUGUAGCGGUGGAAUGCGUAGAGAUCCGGAAGAACACCGGUGGCGAAGGCGGCCUGCUGGGCAGUAGCUGACGCUGAUGCGCGACAGCGUGGGGAGCAAACAGG